Molecule: unclassified non-coding RNA, 2284 nt
Filed under: Homarus americanus (American lobster)
Lineage: Eukaryota; Metazoa; Arthropoda; Malacostraca; Decapoda; Nephropidae
Description: zinc finger protein 501-like, transcript variant X1
Source: RNAcentral
CAUUAAUCACCGCUUUAGGCUGAGGUGGGCAGAGGCGUCAGGCGAAGCAGCACAGCCACUCAUUAUUAUUAUUAUUUAUAUGGUAAUGAGGGUAUGACCUCGUGAAUGAUGGUUACGAUUUGGUCUACAUAAGGCGUUUCGGCUUGGGCAGAGUGUGUGUAGAGUUUCUCGGGGUCCUGACAACAUGGAUUUUUACCUGGUCUUCCUGAACAACGAAAACUAACACCAGUAAACCAGGUUCAGUAUCCAGACUUCUCAAGCACCACAGCUCUUCAGGGUCAAGCACAUCAGUGUUGUUCCUUCAGCAUUGAUACCCAAAUAUCGUCCUUUGUAUAGCAACUCCCCCACAUCUUGGUCACCAUCACUAGCCACCAAAUGAUACUUUGGUUUACCUGUGGGAACUUGGUCAGCAUCAACAGUUGUGUGUAAAGGAAGAUAACUGUUAGACACUUGGCCAAGAUCCUUGACAGGAAGCAGAGUUGUGGUCUUAAUAUCUCAGAGUAACCUGAUGGACAGAAGAUGUGCAUCUCUUGCUGUGCUGUAAUGAACAUUUAAGUCUUCAUCCCCACCAGGCAAUUUUCUUCUGGGCAAAAUACUACAACUUAAUUGAAGUUAGAUGGUGUGACAGGCAAAUAAGUAAUCACCAAGAACAUGGGGGAUGAUCCAAAUAUUUUCACUGGGAACUUUUAAUAACUGGUCAUGGAUCUGGUGAAUGGUGCAGCACUUCCAUUUACAGGCUGUACUUAUGUAAAGAAUGUGGUUAGGGUUUAAAAAAAAAAGUCACUGUCUGUCUUUGUAUGUUAAGAGGCAUUUUCUGUGCCAGGUUAUCAAAGGUACUGUAGUGAGGUGAAGGAAUGUACAAAAGGUAUACAGUACUAGUGAAUACCUGUGUUGUGUAACAGUUAGGUAGCAUUCUUCUAGUCAUGUCACCUGAGAAUGUGUUUCUAAAAGUAUUGUUAGAUAAAUAUAGUAUGAUUGCUUGACCUUUUCAAUAUUAUCCCUACCCCCUUAAGUACUAUGAAUUAACCAUUGAGUAGAUUAAUGUCCCUCAUCCAUCAUGUAUCAUGCUUUUGGACUUAUAUUUGAUUACCUAUUCUUGUAGAUGAUAGAUGGACUCUGGGUUAAAGCUCAGGGUUAACUCAUUGUACUGAUGGAUCAAUGCAGUGUACAGUAUAAAGGAAUUUGAUCUUGGUUGGUAAGCAAAAUACACACGUGAUUUAGUAUACUAUAACGUAUUAGUGUGAGGAACUGUAGAGUCUCACUAAUAAAUUAUAUAGAAUAUUGAUAAAAUGCUAUGUCUCUUUUUAGGCUUCAUUGUAAGAUAGAAUUAAAGUAAUAUCAUAUUUUAUUUCUUGUCACUGAAAUAGUUAUAAAUCAGCAUAUAGUAUUUUCCUCAGGCUAUCAGCAUUAUGUACUUUUAAAUUAAAAAUGUAUCAUAACCAAUCUUGUAAUUUUUUAUUAUUAUUAUUAUAUAUUCUGUCUAUUCCAUUUAUUAUCUUUACUCCUUUCCUUGUUUUUGUGUUGGAAUGGAUCAAAGUGCAUAGAACUACCUGUACUGUGUCUCAUAUAUAACUCAACAAUACAGCUGUAUCUGAAGUGAACACAGUACAAGUUAUCUUACGAGGUGGAUGAUAAACUGUUUAGGCUCUUUAUAACACUGUAUUACUAGUUGCUGUCAUAAUUCGUUUUAACAAUUCUCUUGUACAGUACCACAUCCGUAUCUACCACCACCCCUCUUCAUCUCUGAUCCAUCCCCUAAACAUGGGAGAGGAGUAAAAGACGGCAUAAAUUCACGGCUACUUACCAACAGUUAUAAAAUAGAAGCAAAACAUCAUAUUACAAUCUCUUGUGUGAUAUUUAUUACUGAACAACAAGAGUAUUGUGCUUUCAUUAGCAUCAAUCAGUCAACAAAAGAGCCAGCCUCCUGUCUGGGGGUUGCCAAUCACAGCCCACCACUUCAAUAUUCACUCUCAGGCUGUCUUUACUAGUUUUCCCUGAAAUAAUAACUCUUCAGAAACCUCAACUUUUAAGUUUGUUUACCCAUCUCAGUCUUCACCUUCCCCUGACCCUCCUAACCUCCAAUUUACCCAUUAUUCUCUCUAUAUCAACAUCAUCUCAUCUCUAACUAUAUGAAUAGAACAACUGAUAAUUCUUGUUUAAUGUUCUAAUGUCGAAAUGUUGGAUCCUUAGUAAACUUAUGUGCGUAAUUUAUGACCAACACAAUCUUAAUACGUAAUAUGAGAACUAUAGGGUGUCUCAGAAGAAUGUACAGUACUUAUCGAGG